AGAAAGAAUGGUUAAACCAUAAAAGAUAAAGACAACCGUUGUCCAAAUACCGUCUCAAAGUAAAGCAAUGUGGGACUGUAUUGCACGCGAAAUGACGGCUCGAUGCCUUUGUUAUUCAUUCAUUCAUAAGAAACACUGCACAAAAGAUUCUUGGGGAGCCGUUUCCUGAUAAUAUUUCAAGUCUUUGCGCAACAGAAAAUCCAUUGACUACAGCAUCGGCGCGCGCUCGUUUCCUGAAAACUGAACUUGGUCCGCUUGAUUCACCCCUCAGUGUGUCCGAUAAGGAUUUAAUAUAAUUGCAUGCAAUC
This is a long non-coding RNA of Nematostella vectensis (starlet sea anemone), 308 nucleotides long. RefSeq lists it as uncharacterized. The record is from RefSeq and is a predicted model, not a curated record. The transcript has 2 exons. Lineage: Eukaryota; Metazoa; Cnidaria; Anthozoa; Actiniaria; Edwardsiidae.